Capsicum annuum is the source of this 107-nucleotide non-coding RNA. The record is from Rfam. NCBI's taxonomy places the organism in Eukaryota, Viridiplantae, Streptophyta, Magnoliopsida, Solanales, Solanaceae.
UGAUUAAGGUGAGGGCAAUUUCUUAGCAUACUCUUAAAUCUCUCCCAAGCUUGGUAGAGAUUCUCUUCUUCUUUUUUUAUGAAACUCAGAAUCUUACUUCUCAAACG